UGCAUCGGAAGCCUGACGAGGAUGAGAACCUCCGGGGGCAAGAGGUUCGACUCGAGCGCAGCGAGAGAACGUUGCGUCAGCAACGGCCCGCAGGGCGAGCCACGCAGUGGCGAGUCAUCCUCUAUCACCGACCA
RNAcentral lists this small RNA (134 nucleotides) under Salmonella enterica. RNAcentral describes it as "RtT sRNA". It matches the Rfam family "RtT RNA". From Rfam's summary of the family: This family represents a bacterial cis-regulatory element known as RtT RNA. The exact function of RtT is unknown although it is thought that it may be involved in changing the cellular response in relation to amino acid starvation. The record is from RNAcentral. Lineage: Bacteria; Pseudomonadati; Pseudomonadota; Gammaproteobacteria; Enterobacterales; Enterobacteriaceae.